UUUGUUCUGUGACUUUAAAGUCAUUGCAGUAUUUUAUGUAAAUAAUAAGUCUACAGCACAGCUAAAGAGGGAGCAGCCACCUUACCUCCAUGUUUGGACAAGCAUGAAGAUAAGAACUUCCCUGUGUGCGUGAUGGAAAAAAAUGAUAGAAGGGGCCAAAUUCCCAUCACUAAUACUUGUUGAUAUGUGAGGAAAAAUAAAAUGCUAUUACAAAGUU
Molecule: long non-coding RNA, 217 nt
Filed under: Bos taurus (domestic cattle)
Lineage: Eukaryota; Metazoa; Chordata; Mammalia; Artiodactyla; Bovidae
Description: long non-coding RNA NONBTAT019480
Source: RNAcentral